GUGGGGAAUAUUGGACAAUGGGCGAAAGCCUGAUCCAGCAAUGCCGCGUGAGUGAUGAAGGCCUUAGGGUUGUAAAGCUCUUUUACCCGGGAUGAUAAUGACAGUACCGGGAGAAUAAGCUCCGGCUAACUCCGUGCCAGCAGCCGCGGUAAUACGGAGGGAGCUAGCGUUGUUCGGAAUUACUGGGCGUAAAGCGCGCGUAGGCGGUUUUUUAAGUCAGAGGUGAAAGCCCAGUGCUCAACACUGGAACUGCCUUUGAAACUGGAAAACUUGAAUCUUGGAGAGGUCAGUGGAAUUCCGAGUGUAGAGGUGAAAUUCGUAGAUAUUCGGAAGAACACCAGUGGCGAAGGCGACUGACUGGACAAGUAUUGACGCUGAGGUGCGAAAGCGUGGGGAGCAAACAGGAUUAGAAACCCUAGUAGUCC
Molecule: ribosomal RNA, 425 nt
Filed under: uncultured bacterium
Lineage: Bacteria
Description: bacterial SSU rRNA
Rfam family: Bacterial small subunit ribosomal RNA
Source: RNAcentral